Molecule: ribosomal RNA, 447 nt
Filed under: uncultured bacterium
Lineage: Bacteria
Description: bacterial SSU rRNA
Rfam family: Bacterial small subunit ribosomal RNA
Source: RNAcentral
UGGGGAAUAUUGGACAAUGGGCGAAAGCCUGAUCCAGCCAUGCCGCGUGAGUGACGAAGGCCUUAGGGUUGUAAAACUCUUUCGUCGGGGACGAUAAUGACGGUACCCGAAGAAGAAGCUCCGGCUAACUUCGUGCCAGCAGCCGCGGUAAUACGAAGGGUGCAAACGUUGCUCGGAAUUAUUGGGCGUAAAGCGCAUGUAGGCGGCCUGACAAGUCGGAUGUGAAAUCCCUCGGCUUAACCAAGGAAGUGCAUUCGAAACUGUCAGGCUUGAGUACCAAAGAGGAUCGUAGAAUUCCCGGUGUAGAGGUGAAAUUCGUAGAUAUCGGGAGGAAUACCGGUGGCGAAGGCGGCGAUCUGGGUGGAUACUGACGCUGAGAUGCGAAAGCGUGGGGAGCAAACAGGAUUAGAUACCCCCGUAGUCCCUGAGCGGGCUGGCAAGGCGCAU